UACAGAGGUCCCGAGCGUUGUUCGGAUUCAUUGGGCGUAAAGGGUGCGUAGGCGGCGGGGUAAGUUUGAUGUGAAAUCCCGGGGCUCAACCCUGGAAUUGCAUUGAAUACUACCUUGCUAGAGUACCGGAGAGGAAACUGGAAUUUACGGUGUAGCAGUGAAAUGCGUAGAGAUCGUAAGGAAGACCAGUGGCGAAGGCGGCCAACUGGACAGAUACUGACGCUGAGACACGAAAGUGCGGGGAGCAAACAGG
This 253-nucleotide ribosomal RNA is filed under the name uncultured bacterium. Its description in RNAcentral is "partial 16S ribosomal RNA". It matches the Rfam family "Bacterial small subunit ribosomal RNA", at positions 524 to 776 of the family's 1533-position model. The record is from RNAcentral.